CCACUAUGUUUCUGAGUCCUUUAGAAACUAUGUGAGAAUCCACGGUUUCGUUGCUGUUCCUCUAACACACUUCUAAAUCACAGUUCUGGUUCUGAAGCCUUUCUUUCCCGAGGCUGUCUGUGGCAGACAUCGCUAAUCAAUUAUGGCGGUCGUUUCCAAAGAGCCCAAUGCGUCUGGAUGCUCUUCCAGCUGGUACUCCAGAUUAUGUAAUCUCUUACAUCUGUGUGCCAUAGGAUAUGGUUGUCAGUAGCCUCUCUACUUCUCUGUUGGGCAUAUGAAGACUUCAGCAUGACUUGCUCAGGAUGAACCCGGGGAGGCGUUCUGAACAAGCCGCCACAUAGGCUCCAAGGUGCCUGCUUCUGAACACUGACGGAUGGCUGAGAGCUGGCUGAGGGUAAUGAUGUUGGUCAGCUGGAGGGCUUUCAUCAGGCCCAUAAUCUGUCACUCCCUUGAUGCCUGUCUUCCUCUGGAAAGUGACAGAUGAUACAUGGAGCCAUGGUGGUAAUGUAAACCUUGGUGUGUUCUAGAAUCCCAUGCCUACUGUUCUUAUGACAAGCACUUCUUUUAUGUACAAUUUAUUUCUCUCUGUAAAGCUCUGUCUAGACAUAGCCUUAGUUUCCAGGGAUAUUCCUUAUCUUUAAUGUACUCUUUCAGGUUUGAGAAAUGAGGCAAAGAGAGGCAACAGGUCUUUCUGAAUUAGGAUCUCUUUGGAAUUCUGUGGUCCACUCUGAAUGUAUACCCCUUUUGCAGGGAUGGGAGGACCAUACCCCACCCUGCCUGUGUGAGAUUAUUUCAUUACACGAGUUGUUCUUGAAAAUGAAAUUUCUCUCCCCUCUCCCCAACUAAAGGGAUUGUGUUCUACCCACGUGUAAACUAGAUUCUAUUUCUAAGUAUAUAAAAUGAUAUCUUCCCGUAGACCUCUACUCUCGUUGUCCCUCUUAUCUGGCUUUUUUUCCCUUUUCAUCAGAAUAUUUAUUAACUUCUGACUUAUUGCAUAUGGAGCAAUGACUUUAUCCAUUUCACUACAGUAAUCUUGGAACCUUGUACCUCCUUAUGCAUACUUGGUCAAGUAUGAAUAAAUGAUUGAUAGCAAA
Molecule: long non-coding RNA, 1094 nt
Organism: Marmota monax (woodchuck)
Lineage: Eukaryota; Metazoa; Chordata; Mammalia; Rodentia; Sciuridae
Exons: 2
Source: RefSeq, a predicted model, not a curated record